RNAcentral lists this ribosomal RNA (505 nucleotides) under uncultured eukaryote. RNAcentral describes it as "SSU rRNA". It matches the Rfam family "Eukaryotic small subunit ribosomal RNA", at positions 618 to 1126 of the family's 1831-position model. The record is from RNAcentral.
GUUAAAAAGGCUCGUAGUUGGAUCUCGGCGGGAGGGGGUGGUUCGCUCUUCAGCGCUACUGCCCCGCUUUGCCCUGUGAUUGGCGGAGUUUCGGGGUGCUCUUCGUUGAGUGACUCGAGCGCCGUCAGUUUACUUUGAAAAAAUUAGAGUGCUCAAAGCANGCUUUUCACGCUUGAAUAUUCGUGCAUGGAAUAAUGGAAUAGGAACUCGUUUCUAUUUUGUUGGUUUUCGGAAAUCGAGUUAAUGAUUAACAGGGACAAUUGGGGGCAUUAGUAUUCAGACGACAGAGGUGAAAUUCUUGGACCGUCUGAAGACUGACUACUGCGAAAGCAUUUGCCAAGAGUGUUUUCAUUAAUCAAGAACGAAAGUUAGAGGUUCGAAGGCGAUCAGAUACCGCCCUAGUUCUAACCAUAAACGAUGCCAGCUAGCGAUCUGCCGAGUUUUUUUUGUANGCUCCGCAGGAAGCUUUCGGGAAACCAAAGCUUUUGGGUUCCGGGGGAAGUAU